Molecule: ribosomal RNA, 256 nt
Filed under: uncultured bacterium
Lineage: Bacteria
Description: partial 16S ribosomal RNA
Rfam family: Bacterial small subunit ribosomal RNA
Source: RNAcentral
UACGUAGGGUGCAAGCGUUUAAUCGGAAUUACUGGGCGUAAAGCGUGCGCAGGCGGCUUUGCAAGACAGAUGUGAAAUCCCCGGGCUUAACCUGGGGAACUGCAUUUGUGACUGCAUGGCUGGAGUGCGGCAGAGGGGGAUGGAAUUCCGCGUGUAGCAGUGAAAUGCGUAGAUAUGCGGAGGAACACCGAUGGCGAAGGCAAUCCCCCUGGGCCUGCACUGACGCUCAUGCACGAAAGCGUGGGGAGCAAACAGG